GUUUUGUACUUCUACAAGCACAAAGCAGUGGGAUCAACACACCAUGAACUGAAGUCUUGGAAACAAUGAAACCGCUCACCCUCUUCAGAUGUCUCCCCUCCUUCGCCCAAAUAUACCGGACAAAGUGAAGCAUAUUAAACAAAUGGUACUGAGACAACUGGAUAUCUGUAUGGAGAAGGAGGAAACUAGAUCUCAUUUUCACCCUGCACAAAAAUCAACUCCAAAUACAUCAGGGAGUCUCAAUGCAACACUUGAAAUUCUGGAGCUGCUGGAGGAAAGAAGGACAGAAGAGUACACAGGAUACAGGCCGGCCAGGAGACAGAAACAUCCCUAAGACCAGGAAAUCCUAGGACCUUAACAAGUGGAGCCCGUUUCAGGCCCAGCCAAUCAUGCUAGCUGCUUCUUGUGUUCUUUGGCUAACUUUGUGUAACUGUGUCCUUUGAAACUCAGCGUGCCACCUCCUGAGACAUUUGCUCACCUCCAAGCCAAGAAAUAUGUCCUCUUUAGGUCUUACAGCACCAAGACAACACCGUAAAAAGACAGGACCUGUGGACAAGUCUCAUUAUUGCCAGAAGAUCUGUGUGUCAGUCCCUGCCUGUAAAGACUGUUUGCCUGGGAGCAGCUGAAGAUUCAAAUGUGUUCACAGCCCGGAGCACCCUGUGCCAACCCUCUCGUCCUUCUAGGAAAGAGAAACAUUUGGGUUUUUCAACAUUAAUGCAUGGUGCUUACUGUACAAUCCUAAAUCCUGAGUUUAUAAUCUCUGACUUUAACCAUGAUGCCCUGAAUAAAGUCAAAAGCUGCAG
Peromyscus californicus insignis is the source of this 803-nucleotide long non-coding RNA. RefSeq lists it as uncharacterized. NCBI's taxonomy places the organism in Eukaryota, Metazoa, Chordata, Mammalia, Rodentia, Cricetidae. The record is from RefSeq and is a predicted model, not a curated record. The transcript has 4 exons.